AGAUAAUAAGCUUUAAGCAAUUUCAUUGUUAAUGAUUAGAAGUAGUAGUGAGGGGGCUUCCCCCUUUUCGG
RNAcentral lists this transfer RNA (71 nucleotides) under Heteropoda venatoria (giant crab spider). RNAcentral's name for it is "tRNA-Asn". The record is from RNAcentral. Lineage: Eukaryota; Metazoa; Arthropoda; Arachnida; Araneae; Sparassidae.